This 449-nucleotide ribosomal RNA is filed under the name uncultured bacterium. Its description in RNAcentral is "partial 16S ribosomal RNA". It matches the Rfam family "Bacterial small subunit ribosomal RNA", at positions 29 to 523 of the family's 1533-position model. The record is from RNAcentral.
AACGAACGCUGGCGGCGUGCCUAACACAUGCAAGUCGAACGAAGCCUUCGGGCUUAGUGGCGCACGGGUGCGUAACGCGUGGGAAUCUGCCCUUUGGUUCGGAAUAACAGUUGGAAACGACUGCUAAUACCGGAUGAUGACGAAAGUCCAAAGAUUUAUCGCCAGAGGAUGAGCCCGCGUAGGAUUAGCUAGUUGGUGUGGUAAAGGCGCACCAAGGCGACGAUCCUUAGCUGGUCUGAGAGGAUGAUCAGCCACACUGGGACUGAGACACGGCCCAGACUCCUACGGGAGGCAGCAGUGGGGAAUACUGGACAAUGGGCGAAAGCCUGAUCCAGCAAUGCCGCGUGAGUGAUGAAGGCCCUAGGGUUGUAAAGCUCUUUUACCCGGGAUGAUAAUGACAGUACCGGGAGAAUAAGCCCCGGCUAACUCCGUGCCAGCAGCCGCCGUAA